This 388-nucleotide ribosomal RNA is filed under the name uncultured bacterium. RNAcentral's name for it is "bacterial SSU rRNA". It matches the Rfam family "Bacterial small subunit ribosomal RNA", at positions 28 to 417 of the family's 1533-position model. The record is from RNAcentral.
GACGAACGCUGGCGGCGUGCUUAACACAUGCAAGUCGAGCGGUAAGGCCCUUUCGGGGGUACACGAGCGGCGAACGGGUGAGUAACACGUGGGUGACCUGCCCUCAGCUCUGGGAUAAGCCUGGGAAACCGGGUCUAAUACUGGAUAUGACUCCAUGACGCAUGUUGUGGGGUGGAAAGCCUUGUGCGGCUGGGGAUGGGCCCGCGGCCUAUCAGCUUGUUGGUGGGGUGAUGGCCUACCAAGGCGACGACGGGUAGCCGGCCUGAGAGGGCGACCGGCCACACUGGGACUGGGACACGGCCCAGACUCCUACGGGAGGCAGCAGUGGGGAAUCUUGCGCAAUGGGCGAAAGCCUGACGCAGCGACGCCGCGUGAGGGAUGACGGCCU